RNAcentral lists this ribosomal RNA (390 nucleotides) under uncultured bacterium. Its description in RNAcentral is "bacterial SSU rRNA". It matches the Rfam family "Bacterial small subunit ribosomal RNA", at positions 28 to 422 of the family's 1533-position model. The record is from RNAcentral.
GACGAACGCUGGCGGCGUGCUUAACACAUGCAAGUCGAACGGUAAGGCCCUUCGGGGUACACGAGUGGCGAACGGGUGAGUAACACGUGGGUGAUCUGCCCUGCACUUUGGGAUAAGCCUGGGAAACUGGGUCUAAUACCGAAUAUGACCAUGGACUUCACGGUUUGUGGUGGAAAGCUUUUGCGGUGUGGGAUGGGCCCGCGGCCUAUCAGCUUGUUGGUGGGGUAAUGGCCUACCAAGGCGACGACGGGUAGCCGGCCUGAGAGGGUGACCGGCCACACUGGGACUGAGAUACGGCCCAGACUCCUACGGGAGGCAGCAGUGGGGAAUAUUGCACAAUGGGCGCAAGCCUGAUGCAGCGACGCCGCGUGGGGGAUGACGGCCUUCGGG